This 459-nucleotide ribosomal RNA is filed under the name uncultured bacterium. RNAcentral describes it as "partial 16S ribosomal RNA". It matches the Rfam family "Bacterial small subunit ribosomal RNA", at positions 338 to 795 of the family's 1533-position model. The record is from RNAcentral.
CCUACGGGUGGCAGCAGUGAGGAAUAUUGGUCAAUGGGCGCGAGCCUGAACCAGCCAAGUCGCGUGAGGGAAGACGGUCCUCUGGAUUGUAAACCUCUUUUGUCGGGGAGCAAAAGACGCCACGCGUGGCGUUCCGAGCGUACCCGAAGAAAAAGCAUCGGCUAAGUCCGUGCAAGCAGCCGCGGUAAUACGGGGGAUGCGAGCGUUAGCCGGAUGUAUUGGGUUUAAAGGGGGCGCAGGCGGUCUGUUAAGUCAGGGGUAAAAGCCCGGGGCUCAACCCCGGCCCGCCGUUGAGACUGGCAGGCUAGAGUUGGAGAGAGGUAUGCGGAAUGCGCGGUGUAGCGGUGAAAUGCAUAGAUAUCGCGAAGAACUCCGAUUGCGAAGGCAGCAUGCCGGCUCCACACUGACGCUGAGGCACGAAAGCGUGGGUAGCGAACAGGAUUAGAUACCCCGGUAGUC